UAAACACUGCCUGUAAUGAUUUCCAUGGGGAAUGAGAUAUAGAAGAGAUUUGGGAAGGAGGACAUAUAAAUGGAGCUGGCAGUAAGUACAGCCAGAAUGAGUUGUGUAAGAAGCCUGGGGGAUGCUAAAGUGCUGCUACCACCACCUACCACCACCUACUAUCACUUACCACUGCUGGUUACCACCUACUACCACCUAUCACCACCUGCCACUGUGUGCCACCACCUACAACCGCCUGCUAUCUCCUAGUAUCACCACCUAUGAGGAUCUGCCAACACCUGCCACCACCUAUCACCACCUCUUGCCACCACUAUUACUGCUUCUUCUUGACACCUGUUGUUGUGUUCUACAGGCCCCAAAGCUGUGUGGAAUGGGUUCCCAAUCUCACCAAUAUUUUAAGGGCCAUAGUUCUCUCAGUUUUAACUUUCAGACCCUUCUUACCUUAUUACUUGAGUAUAAAUCCAAACAAGUUAUAUUUUGCAAGUGA
Leopardus geoffroyi (Geoffroy's cat) is the source of this 487-nucleotide long non-coding RNA. RefSeq lists it as uncharacterized. The transcript is spliced from 2 exons. The record is from RefSeq and is a predicted model, not a curated record. Lineage: Eukaryota; Metazoa; Chordata; Mammalia; Carnivora; Felidae.